RNAcentral lists this microRNA (24 nucleotides) under Gossypium raimondii (Peruvian cotton). Its description in RNAcentral is "gra-miR8728". Lineage: Eukaryota; Viridiplantae; Streptophyta; Magnoliopsida; Malvales; Malvaceae. The record is from miRBase by way of RNAcentral.
CGGGCUUGGGCAAAAUUUUAGGCU